Molecule: ribosomal RNA, 492 nt
Filed under: uncultured bacterium
Lineage: Bacteria
Description: partial 16S ribosomal RNA
Rfam family: Bacterial small subunit ribosomal RNA
Source: RNAcentral
AGUGAACGCUGGCGGUAGGCCUAACACAUGCAAGUCGAACGGCAGCACAGUAAGAGCUUGCUCUUACGGGUGGCGAGUGGCGGACGGGUGAGGAAUACAUCGGAAUCUACUUUUUCGUGGGGGAUAACGUAGGGAAACUUACGCUAAUACCGCAUACGACCUACGGGUGAAAGCAGGGGAUCUUCGGACCUUGCGCGAUUGAAUGAGCCGAUGUCGGAUUAGCUAGUUGGCGGGGUAAAGGCCCACCAAGGCGACGAUCCGUAGCUGGUCUGAGAGGAUGAUCAGCCACACUGGAACUGAGACACGGUCCAGAAUACUACGGGAGGCAGCAGUGGGGAAUAUUGGACAAUGGGCGCAAGCCUGAUCCAGCCAUAACGCGUGGGUGAAGAAGGCCUUCGGGUUGUAAAGCCAUUUUGUUGGGAAAGAAAAGCAGCAGGUUAAUACCCCGCUGUUCUGACGGUACCCAAAGAAUAAGCACCGGCUAACUUCGUG